Non-coding RNA from Paramuricea clavata, 5559 nucleotides. Lineage: Eukaryota; Metazoa; Cnidaria; Anthozoa; Malacalcyonacea; Plexauridae. The record is from the annotation of a GenBank genome assembly.
GCAAUGUAAUAAGUUUAUUUUGUAAUAGAAUAUAACACGGUGUAACGUUGAAUAUUUACUAUAUUUAUGUUAUUCAUUGAAAUGAAUUUUUUUCUUAAAUUGGAUACUUAGAUUGCGAAUGUUCGUACACGAUAGUACUGAAUUGUUACGAACACUUGGUACUUUGUAGAUGCAUGUUUGCUUUGUCUUCAGAUGCGUCCUCAUCCAGUGUCCAUCUGCGAUGUAUUGUCUUCUCACUCCUUAUCAAGCUUUCAGGCAAGUUCUUAUUUCAAUUACUCCAUUCACUUGUCUCAACAAAUCGUCCUUGAUGAAAUCUGCAUCUGGUGUCGACUCUCUGAAAUCCAGCUCAGACAUAAUAACUCUAAUAUUUCUCGUUAGUUUACUUACUAAUUUUGAUGGAAAUUAAACGUACAGUGGAAUCAAUAUUAGAUAAACACAACAGCGGGUACCAUUACUCUUUUUAGCAUUGUAUGUCAAAAGUAACUGCUAUAACUAUAGUAAUAAUUUGUGUCUAUAUUUAAUAAUUCGAAACAGUUUGUUGUUAGUCACGGGGGCCUGGCUAUCAUCAAACACGAUUCGUUAUUACAAAUUUAUAUGUUGUAAAGUCUUACUGACAUAUAUUACUGACCACUGUUACAAUUCCUUCCAAUAUUUCUUUUUGAAUCAGGUUGUACAAAAUCCUAUAGGUAAAUUUUUGUCGACCGAUUUGGAUCGAAUUUGAAAUGAAUAGAUGGACGUUUUAGAGACAAGACUUGCAUUGUGUAUAUAAGAGGGUUAAAAAGUAAAUGUGAAAAUUAACAGCUAAUAAAAGAGAAAAGAAUAAGAUGCAACAAAGAUCAAAAGCGAUGACAGAUUUUCAAGCUUAAAAAGUAACUCAUUUUCAUUCACUUCAAGUCAAUAAGGAUGGCCUGUUGUACUCAAAUGCUUAAGAUUUAACGCCAUUUAAUGGCUGCGGUAAAGCUACUUCUUGGUAAGUAUUCAUUUAUACUAAAUUAGCCUAGUUAUAUAUUCUUCCUGUUUAUGGAAUUGGUCCGGUUUUACACGCGUUUGGCGACACUUUGGAUUUCGCUCGUCAAACCAACUUGAAGUUUAACUUUUCGAGGCUGCACCUAAUGCGUACCACUUUAAUUAUAAAUAUCAGUAGACAAAACCGAUGAGUCAGCUGAAAGUAUUGGCAUGUAGCAGGCGUUGGCUUAUUUUGACUUUUUGUGUAUUAAUUUUCACAACGUUCAUAAUGUGCAUUAAUCAAGUGGUUCAGAACACAAUUUUGUAACACACAAUCUGUGAAAUAAUUUUUAAUUUACUUUUAGAAGUCCUCAUGUCAAUGUCGGACAACCAUUAUUCGACCCACAUGUAUCCCACAUUGCAUUGCGUGUGUUCUUCUCUAAUAGAAACAGAGCCUCCAAGAGGCCAUUAAGGACUCAUUAAAAUACCUCAAAAAAACUUUAAAAAAACCCCAAAACAAAAGUAGGAGAAAAGCCGCCCAAAAAAAGUGGGAGGGAUUGUAUAAUUAACAAUCAUUUACUGAAGUGGAGCCCCUCGCCCAGCCGCGUAUGACCAUCUCUCAAUUAUAUCUGUUAGCUUUAAAACACAAGUCUAGUACAUAGAAUGUAGAGAAUUUCGCAUUUAUUUUCUCACUGACAAAAAUGACGCCUGGACAAUGGUGCUUGGUGAAAUUCACCUAUAAAUAUGAUGUAAAGCUUACUGUUAUUUUAAAGUUAUGGACACGUCAGUUAAAACAUUCCUUAAUUUUAACAAAUUUAUUUAUGUCUUCAUUAUGGUACGGUACCAAGUCAAUAUAAACCGGCAAGAGUACUUCCUGUAUUCAAAAAGGGAUUCUUUACUAAGUAUAUUUAAUCGUAUUCUAGAAAGGUUAAUGUAAAAAAGACUAAUUAGUUACAUUGAGAAGUUUAAUAUUCUUUACACCAAACAGUUCGGAUUUCGAGAAAAACACUCUACAGAACAUGCUAUUUUAUCCAUUAUAGAUAAAAUCAAACAUGCUGUCGAGAUGGAAAAUUCUCAUGUGGCAUUUUCCUAGAUCUAAGCAAAGCAUUUGAUACUGUAAACCAAUCAAUCUUACUACAAAAACUUGAGCAUUAUGGCAUACGAGGAGUCGCAUAUGACCUGUUCGUUUCUUAUUUAACUGAACGUAAACAAUUUGUUUCAAUUGAUCAGAAAUGUUCAAGUCAUCUUUUAUUAUUCCAUGUGGAGUUCCUCAAGGUUCAGUUCUUGGACCCUCGUUGUUCCUGUUGUAUGUUAAUGAUAUUAGCUAGCCUGCGAACCGGCUCUCUUUGAACUCUCUUUGAAAUUUGAGAGAGAGCCUGCAGGCCUAGCUAAUAAAAACGCGUCUGUGCGUUGCUUAUAACGACGCAGGGUUCCCAUUGGUUGAAAUUGAAUUAAUUACAUUAUACUGCCAUAAAAGGUAAUUAAAUUUACACAACAAUAGAUUCAAAUAAAAAAAUAUCGUUCUAUAGCGACGAGUUGUAUAGAAAACUAAAUCUUUGUUUAAAGUUACAGUAAAGGAUGGGCAAUCAAAAGCUCUUAACAAUAUUCUAGACGGAAACGGUGUUUUUGCUGCGUAUAAGAGAGUUUGGCAAAUACAACGGCAACGUUCUUAUAUUAGCCUUUAGAUCUUAACAGUAAUGUGCGUCAGUUGUAUAGCCCCAGCGAGUUAACGCUCCAUAGAGCGUCUUGUUCAAUUAAGGUUGUCCGCAUUGAAAGUCAAAACUCAAGACCGCAAAACCGCCUCUAAGCGCGAAAAGCAGAAUGGACGUUAUUUUGUCUAUCCCCGACUAUACUGUAUAUGCACACCGCAUUUUGAAAAUUUAAUAUAAAUGCCCUGUUUAAUUAAUUAUACGUCGCUAUUGUGUCGAGUCAAAUUCGAUUUUCCCCCCGAAAAUCGAAAACACCUUUAUGCACCCAACUAUACGGCAUACGGCAACAACUAUACGGCAUACAACCAACUUUAAUAAAUAGGUGAUAUUAAAGUUAGAUAACAUAAAAAUGAAGUGAAACUGUCGGUAUUUGUCGGUAUUUCAAUUGUCGGCAAUUAGUACGACCGGUAUCCUGUUUGAUAACAAUAACCAUUACUAUAGGUGUUAGCAAUAUUAUAUUUUUGCACUCUCACUGAUUUGACUUGAUUAGCCCACAGCCUCACGCCGGCAUUAAUAUAUUUUGGGGGUGACUGUUAUUUUCGUGCAGUGUGAAAAGCAAUAUUUUAAAACAAACUAAAUAUUUAGAGAGUAAAUUUACUAUGAUACACUCACAAAACUAUAAAAUGUAGCUGUUACAUGGUGUUACAUACGCUUGCAGCAUUGGCAAAAAUAGUACCGCAAAAAUGGCCGCGUGAGAUAGCUAUUAAUGGCAAUGCACGAGUAACUUUGGAAAGAGUGUGAAAAUUAAUCAAAAGCGUUAUAAUUGUUGUAUUCCAGAAGGAGCUGCGGCAGAUCAUAAAAAGUCAUUAAGAAAGUGUUUCCAUCCCAAAGCGUAUAUAUAUAACAACCAAGGCCGCAGUUUUGCAGUUUCAUUUUCGCAUGUUUCAAAAAAACUCGCACGAAUGUUUUUCCUACUCUCGGUCAUUUUUGGCUUGUUGGCGUGGCAGGGCCAAGCCAUAGAUGCCGCAUAUUGUGCAAGAGCAAGAUACAAUUGUAAAGAGGAUGUAUUCCUGUGCAGAGCAGCGUUUGGAACGGCCUGUGAUGCAACAGUUAGGACGAAUAGGUAUCCACCGACGCCAAAACCGUGCUCCAAGGUAUGCCUAAGUGCUAUUAGCAUUCUAAAAAGUACUAAAAAAGGAAAAGAGUUGUUCGAUUGCGACUGCAACCUGGACGGAGAUUGCCUUGUUGUUAAGGCCCGGAUCGAAAAAUGUUUCGACACGAGUCGCAGGCGAAGAGUAAGUUGUACCAGGGCUUUGUGGAAUUGUACAAGAGAUCCUACAUGCCGUUUUCUGAAGAGCAAAUUCCAGGAUGAUUGCCGUGAAUUGUUUAACGGCGUUCGUUGAGAGGAGAAGUGUUUGAGAAUACAGGAGAGACUGUUUGAACGUUCGAAAUACGGCAAUCCCUUGAAGAAUUGCGAAUGUGAUGGCAGUAGCGAAGCUUAUUGCCGUGGAAUCAAAGCACAUGCUCAACAGUUACGCUGUAUGCCGGGGAUGGACGGCAAUGGUAAACCCGUAUUAUAACGCAACUGGGAGUGGCGAUGGCGAGAUAGAAUCAAAGGCGAAGAACCAUACCGAAAUCACCAAAACGAGUAGCAAAUCAAUAUCGAAUCUUCAAUCCUAUUCAAUAUGGACGCUGGUAUUAAUUUCACCAUUAUUUCUACUCUAAUUCUUCAGUAAUGUUUUAUGCACAUUAUCUCUACUGAGAACAGGACGCAUGGACAUUGUGCCAACAUUUGCAUGAAAGAAAAUGUAUGUUCUCAGGGUAUUUUUUGUUGUUGUCAUCUGGAAAUAAAGGACGUUUAUGGGGGUAAUAUAUUGUGCGGUGUUUCUACUGUAGGUGUAAAGUUACUGUAUAUGUUCAAUGGACCAAUCCCUCAUUAACCAAAAUUUUGAUCUCAACAAGUUUAGACAAAACAAUCAUCAGAGCUCAAAAGAGCAUCACAAAAUUAGUAACACUCCAAAAUUUCGUUGCGAAAUGUUGUAAAAUGCGGAUAAUAUAGUCCAGCGAAGUUUGCAAUUUUUCAGUCAUUUUGUAUUACGCACGGGAAAUGGUGUGCACCGAUUUCCUUGAAAUGGUUUGUGCAUCAGCUAAAAAACUCAAAGGUAAAAAAGCGAGUACCGGGGAUUCGAUUAACAAUAAAAUAAUUAAGUUCGCUGUGACUGUUUUAGCACCUUACUUUGUUAAAUUAUUUAACUCGUAAUACAAAUUUCACGCACGUAAUUGAAUGCAUUUUGAGACGAAUGCAUUUUGAGACGUUGAAUGCAUUGAGACGAUAGAAACUUUACGUUUUUUAAUUUAAGGAUUUUUAAAUAUUUGAGCGAAUAAAUACUGAAAGCUCACCCAUGAGUUUGUACAGCUAUUUCGAUUGCUUGAACUCUGCCCUUGUAUUUCUGUGGUUCAUGCCAGCCUUUGUCCUAAUAGUAAGUAAGUUAGUUACAUACACAGGGUUGCCGAGAGGGGAAGGGCAAUUUGCCCCGGCCCCCAACCAAAUGGGACCUCCAACUUGUGAGAGAUCCAGAGAGUUGGUAACAUGGAAUUUUUGUGGCCAAAUAAUGAAAAUAAUCGUGUGUAUAUGCACAUAUAUAUGCAUAUUGUAAACAAUUUAUGGUUGGAAUAAAAAUUGUUGUUGUUGUUAUUAUGACGUCUCUGGAAAAUCAAAUGGGAGACUCAGAUUGUUUAUCAAAUUGAAUCCAGACAGUAUGUCCAUGACAUGCGGUCCAUACAAAAUGAUUUUAGAACGAAAUCUGUUGGGAAAAAGUUUUUCAAAUCCGAGUCUCCUUAGCGUAAAAUUAAUGAGGUAUUCAACUUGUCUAAAUGCUUUUAAAUGCUAUAAUUAUGCUAUUAAAUGCUUUGAGAAGAUAGAGGUAACUCAUGUUUGUGUUCUCUUUUAUUUCAGAAAGAAAUC